This 89-nucleotide ribosomal RNA is filed under the name Staphylococcus aureus. Its description in RNAcentral is "partial 16S ribosomal RNA". It matches the Rfam family "Bacterial small subunit ribosomal RNA", at positions 1452 to 1533 of the family's 1533-position model. RNAcentral also lists the same sequence under 4 other names. The record is from RNAcentral. Lineage: Bacteria; Bacillati; Bacillota; Bacilli; Caryophanales; Staphylococcaceae.
GCCGUCGAAGGUGGGACAAAUGAUUGGGGUGAAGUCGUAACAAGGUAGCCGUAUCGGAAGGUGCGGCUGGAUCACCUCCUUUCUAAGGA